Molecule: transfer RNA, 76 nt
Filed under: Rahnella variigena
Lineage: Bacteria; Pseudomonadati; Pseudomonadota; Gammaproteobacteria; Enterobacterales; Yersiniaceae
Description: tRNA-Asn
Rfam family: tRNA
About the family: Transfer RNA (tRNA) molecules are approximately 80 nucleotides in length. Their secondary structure includes four short double-helical elements and three loops (D, anti-codon, and T loops).
Source: RNAcentral
UCCUCUGUAGUUCAGUCGGUAGACCGGCGGACUGUUAAUCCGUAUGACACUGGUUCGAGUCCAGUCAGAGGAGCCA